RNAcentral lists this unclassified non-coding RNA (308 nucleotides) under Coprinellus sp. RNAcentral's name for it is "partial internal transcribed spacer region". The stretch from base 1 to 46 matches the Rfam family "Eukaryotic small subunit ribosomal RNA", at positions 1786 to 1831 of the family's 1831-position model. The record is from RNAcentral. Lineage: Eukaryota; Fungi; Basidiomycota; Agaricomycetes; Agaricales; Psathyrellaceae.
AAGUCGUAACAAGGUUUCCGUAGGUGAACCUGCGGAAGGAUCAUUAAUGAAUAACUAUGGUGUAGGUUGUAGCUGGCUCCUCGGAGCAUUGUGCACACCCGCCAUUUUUAUCUUUCCACCUGUGCACCGACUGUAGGUCUGGAUAACUCUCGUCUUGAGACGGACGCGAGGUUUGGCUUCGGCCUCUCCUUGAAUUUCCAGGUCUAUGUCUUUUUACACACCCCAAUAGUAUGACAUUGAAUGUAGUCAAUGGGCUUUGUAGCCUAUAAAACACUAUACAACUUUCAGCAACGGAUCUCUUGGCUCUC